This 254-nucleotide ribosomal RNA is filed under the name uncultured bacterium. Its description in RNAcentral is "partial 16S ribosomal RNA". It matches the Rfam family "Bacterial small subunit ribosomal RNA", at positions 524 to 776 of the family's 1533-position model. The record is from RNAcentral.
UACGAGGGGUGCAAGCGUUAUUCGGAAUUACUGGGCGUAAAGGGUGUGCAGACGGUUUUACAAGUCAGUUGUUAAAUCCCCCGGCCCAACCGGGGACCGGCGACUGAAACUGUAAUGACUUGAGUAUGAGAGAGAGAAGUGGAAUUCUUGGAGUAGCGGUAAAAUGCGUAGAUCUCAAGAGGAACACCAAUGGCGAAGGCAGCUUCUUGGCUCAUUACUGACGUUGAAACACGAAAGCGUGGGGAGCAAACAGG